CCCCUAGAUGUUCUGGGCCGCACGCGCGCUACACUGAACAGUUCAACAAGUCUUAACCUUGGCCGAUAGGUCUGGGUAAUCUUUGAACGCUGUUCGUGAUUGGGAUAGACCUUUGCAAUUAUGGGUCUUCAACGAGGAAUUCCUAGUAAACGCAAGUCAUCAGCUUGCAUUGAUUACGUCCCUGCCCUUUGUACACACCGCCCGUCGCACCUACCGAUUGAAUGGUCCGGUGAAAUCUCGGGACGGCGGCUCGGUCGCUUGCGUCCGACUGCUGAAACUUGAUUAAACCAUAUCAUUUAGAGGAAGGAGAAGUCGUAACA
RNAcentral lists this ribosomal RNA (320 nucleotides) under uncultured eukaryote. RNAcentral describes it as "partial 18S ribosomal RNA". It matches the Rfam family "Eukaryotic small subunit ribosomal RNA", at positions 1470 to 1796 of the family's 1831-position model. The record is from RNAcentral.